CAAAUCAUGAAAAUUCGAAUUAGAACAACUUACCCAAUCAAUGGGGGCCAAAGUCUUAAAUAAGAACUAACAGCCAUAAUUUAGCAAAACAGCCUGUUCAACAACAAACAUCCAUUUCACAGUGCCGAAGUUCCUCAAAAGCUUAUUUAAAAAACACGCAAGUCUAAUAAAAAGUUUGGGAAUAUAAAGAGAAAAAUACGAAAA
Erythranthe guttata (spotted monkey flower) is the source of this 204-nucleotide non-coding RNA. Lineage: Eukaryota; Viridiplantae; Streptophyta; Magnoliopsida; Lamiales; Phrymaceae. The record is from RefSeq and is a predicted model, not a curated record.